RNAcentral lists this transfer RNA (69 nucleotides) under Rattus norvegicus (Norway rat). It matches the Rfam family "tRNA". Rfam says of the family: Transfer RNA (tRNA) molecules are approximately 80 nucleotides in length. Their secondary structure includes four short double-helical elements and three loops (D, anti-codon, and T loops). The record is from Rfam by way of RNAcentral. Lineage: Eukaryota; Metazoa; Chordata; Mammalia; Rodentia; Muridae.
GGGGAUGUAGCUCAGUGGUAGAGUGCUUGCCUAGCAAGCACAAGGCCCUGGGUUCGGUCCCCAGCUCCG